RNAcentral lists this ribosomal RNA (467 nucleotides) under uncultured bacterium. RNAcentral describes it as "partial 16S ribosomal RNA". It matches the Rfam family "Bacterial small subunit ribosomal RNA", at positions 28 to 507 of the family's 1533-position model. The record is from RNAcentral.
GACGAACGCUGGCGGCGUGCUUAACACAUGCAAGUCGAACGGAAAGGCCUCUUUCGGGGGGUACUCGAGUGGCGAACGGGUGAGUAACACGUGAGUAACCUGCCCUUGACUUUGGGAUAACUUCAGGAAACUGGGGCUAAUACCGGAUAGGAGCUCCUGCUGCAUGGUGGGGGUUGGAAAGUUUCGGCGGUUGGGGAUGGACUCGCGGCUUAUCAGCUUGUUGGUGGGGUAGUGGCUUACCAAGGCUUUGACGGGUAGCCGGCCUGAGAGGGUGACCGGCCACAUUGGGACUGAGAUGCGGCCCAGACUCCUACGGGAGGCAGCAGGGGGGAAGAUUGAACAAUGGGUGGCAGCCGGAUGCAGCAACGCCGUGUGCGGGAUGACGGCCUUAGGGUUGUAAACCGCUUUCGCUCGUGACGAAGCUUUGUGUGACGGUAGUGGGUAAAGAAGCACCGGCUAACUACGUG